RNAcentral lists this transfer-messenger RNA (351 nucleotides) under Acidobacteriota bacterium. It matches the Rfam family "transfer-messenger RNA". From Rfam's summary of the family: Bacterial tmRNA, also known as 10Sa RNA or SsrA, is named for its dual tRNA and mRNA-like properties. Its role is to liberate the mRNA from a stalled ribosome. The record is from RNAcentral. Lineage: Bacteria; Pseudomonadati; Acidobacteriota.
GGGGGUGCACUGGAUUCGACGGGGGUCAAGAGGCUGUAGAGGCGUGCCGAGUUGUCCGCGACUCGUAACUAUCGUGGAAAUUAAAUAUAACUGCUGACAAUCAGUUAGCUCUGGCUGCUUAAAGCAGCCACGUCCCGCCGUUUUUUCCCGUGAAGACGGGUCGGGGCGUCACACAGCGGGAUAGGUUGGAGCGUUGCUUCCCGGCGUUCUGGCCGAAACCUAGGGGAUAGCGGACGUGCGCUCCUGCCGGUUCGUACGUUACGUUCGCGAAACUCAACGGAUCGGAUACGCACGUAGUCUCUGCUCGCUGAAGUCCUUCGGACGCGGGUUCGAUUCCCGCCACCUCCACCA